GACGAACGCUGGCGGCGUGCUUAACACAUGCAAGUCGAACGGAAAGGCCCUGCUUUUGUGGGGUGCUCGAGUGGCGAACGGGUGAGUAACACGUGAGUAACCUGCCCUUGACUUUGGGAUAACUUCAGGAAACUGGGGCUAAUACCGGAUAGGAGCUCCUGCUACAUGGUGGGGGUUGGAAAGUUUCGGCGGUUGGGGAUGGACUCGCGGCUUAUCAGCUUGUUGGUGGGGUAGUGGCUUACCAAGGCUUUGACGGGUAGCCGGCCUGAGAGGGUGACCGGCCACAUGGGGACUGAGGUACGGCCCAGACGCCUACGGGAGGCAGCAGUGGGGAAUAUUGCACAAUGGGCGGAAGCCUGAUGCAGCAACGCCGCGUGCGGGAUGACGGCCUUCGGGUUGUAAACCGCUUUCGCCUGUGACGAAGCGUGAGUGACGGUAAUGGGUAAAGAAGCACCGGCUAACUACGUG
RNAcentral lists this ribosomal RNA (468 nucleotides) under uncultured bacterium. Its description in RNAcentral is "partial 16S ribosomal RNA". It matches the Rfam family "Bacterial small subunit ribosomal RNA", at positions 28 to 507 of the family's 1533-position model. The record is from RNAcentral.